RNAcentral lists this unclassified non-coding RNA (206 nucleotides) under uncultured Chytridiomycota. RNAcentral's name for it is "sequence contains ITS2". Lineage: Eukaryota; Fungi; Chytridiomycota. The record is from RNAcentral.
UGUAUUCAUUCACCUAGUUGGUACUUGAUUGUACUGGCGAUGGUGAGAUUUGAGGCGUCGCCCUUACCCGGCGUGCUUUUAAAACUAUGGUUGUCGGUUGCUGUUGUAACGGAAAAGUAUGUGUAUGGACUUCGGUUCUCUUAUACUCAGUACGUGCUUCGCCUUGGCCGGCACUCACCUAUUAAAGUCAGUAAUGCUGGCUUGAA